CCUCACUAUAUAUAUUUCCUAUUUCAUUAAUGUCUACUUUUACCUUUAUUAUAUUUCUUCCCUUUUUGGCUUAUUCUGAUAUUUUUUUGGCUGAGGGGGGAUGGGAAUUUUUCAGUUGCCUCUUAGGCUUAUUACAUUUUAGAUUUUCUUCUUUCCUAAUACAAACAUCUAGAACUAUAAAUUGUUCUCUAAGUAUCAUGUUAGCUGCACCUGACAAAUGUUGAUGCGUAACUUUCAGUUACAGUUUAGCUCCAAUAUUUUCUAAUCUCCAUUGUGAUUUUGUUUUUAAUACAUUAACAGAUUUAAAGUGUUUUAUGUAAGUUUCCAAAGUGUGAGCCCAGGAGGCAGAGCUUGCAGUGAGCCCAGAUCGCGCCACUGCACUCCAGCCUGGGCGACAGAGUGAGACUCCAUUUCAAAAACAAAACAAACAAAAAAACAAACAACAAAAAAAAAUUAGAUAUUACUAUCAAUCAAGUGAAGUCACUUUCCUUUGGCUUGAAAUAAAUCCUUUAGAAUUUCCUUUAGUCAGAGAUUUGUUGUUGUUGUUUUAUGAUAAACUCUUUAUGUUUCUAUUUAUAUAAAAAUGUCUUUAUUUUGGGCUCCUUCUUAUAAGAUAUUUUAAUCC
RNAcentral lists this long non-coding RNA (625 nucleotides) under Pan troglodytes (chimpanzee). RNAcentral describes it as "long non-coding RNA NONPTRT007805". Lineage: Eukaryota; Metazoa; Chordata; Mammalia; Primates; Hominidae. The record is from RNAcentral.